GAUGUUUUAUUGAACUUGUUCUAACUUAACUUGUCUUAAGACAAAGAAUAGCUUAUAUUAAUUUAGCCAAACAAGAACUUUGUGACGGUACCUUGGUUUUUUUUUUUUUUUCUGUAAU
Sinocyclocheilus anshuiensis is the source of this 118-nucleotide long non-coding RNA. RefSeq lists it as uncharacterized. The transcript has 3 exons. Lineage: Eukaryota; Metazoa; Chordata; Actinopteri; Cypriniformes; Cyprinidae. The record is from RefSeq and is a predicted model, not a curated record.